CCCUUAGAUGUUCUGGGCUGCACGCGCGCUACACUGAUGCGCUCAACGAGUUUAUAACCUUGUCCGGCAGGAUUGGGUAAUCUUUUUAAAACGCAUCGUGAUGGGGAUAGAUUAUUGCAAUUAUUAAUCUUCAACGAGGAAUUCCUAGUAAGCGCGAGUCAUCAGCUUGCAUUGAUUACGUCCCUGCCCUUUGUACACACCGCCCGUCGCACCUACCGAUUGAAUGGUCCGGUGAAAUCUUCGGAUUGAGACUUUGAUUUCUUCACGGAAAACGCUGUUUUAAGAAGUUGAUUAAACCUUACCAUUUAGAGGAAGGUGAAGUCGUAACA
This 329-nucleotide ribosomal RNA is filed under the name uncultured eukaryote. RNAcentral's name for it is "partial 18S ribosomal RNA". It matches the Rfam family "Eukaryotic small subunit ribosomal RNA", at positions 1470 to 1796 of the family's 1831-position model. The record is from RNAcentral.